GGCAAGGUAGCUCAGUUGGUUAGAGCGCUGCUCUCAUAAGGCGGAGGUCGAGGAUUCGAGUUCCUCUCUUGCUACCA
Molecule: transfer RNA, 77 nt
Filed under: Sulfurovum sp.
Lineage: Bacteria; Pseudomonadati; Campylobacterota; Epsilonproteobacteria; Campylobacterales; Sulfurovaceae
Also listed under: 1 other name
Description: tRNA-Met
Rfam family: tRNA
About the family: Transfer RNA (tRNA) molecules are approximately 80 nucleotides in length. Their secondary structure includes four short double-helical elements and three loops (D, anti-codon, and T loops).
Source: RNAcentral